Molecule: non-coding RNA, 303 nt
Organism: Erinaceus europaeus (western European hedgehog)
Lineage: Eukaryota; Metazoa; Chordata; Mammalia; Eulipotyphla; Erinaceidae
Source: Rfam
GGAUGAUCUGGCUGUGACAUCUGUCACCCCAUUGAUCACCAGGGUUGAUUCAGCUGAUCUGACUGGCUAGGCAGAUGUGCCCUUCCUCCAUGUGCAUCCCUCCUGAGGCUGCGCGCUUCAAGAAUGGCCUUCCCUGAAUAGAGAUGGACCGGUCUUCGGUUGAGGGUAUACAAGUAGCUGUGCUCCCCUGCUAGAACCUCCAAACAAGCUCUCAAAGUCCAAAAUCACCUGGACUAUAGUGAGGAGUGAGUUAAAGAGAAGCCAGGGUACAGUGAGGAGUCUCCAGACCCAUUAGUAGGCAAC